RNAcentral lists this ribosomal RNA (160 nucleotides) under uncultured bacterium. Its description in RNAcentral is "partial 16S ribosomal RNA". It matches the Rfam family "Bacterial small subunit ribosomal RNA", at positions 333 to 508 of the family's 1533-position model. The record is from RNAcentral.
GAGCUCCUACGGGAGGCAGGCAGUGGGGAAUAUUGGCACAAUGGGGGAAACCCUGAUGCAGCGACGCCGCGUGGAGGAAGAAGGUCUUCGGAUUGUAAACUCCUGUUGUUGGGGAAGAUAAUGACGGUACCCAACAAGGAAGUGACGGCUAACUACGUGC